GGACCCCUAGCUCAGUGGUAGAGCGUGAGAUUCCAGCACUUGAGCCCGAUUUACCGUAAUACCCUUUACGAGAAAUCGGGCUCACAGAGAUUCCUCAAGGUCAUCCGUUCAAUCCGGGUGGGGUUCA
RNAcentral lists this transfer RNA (127 nucleotides) under Galerina marginata CBS 339.88. It matches the Rfam family "tRNA". Rfam says of the family: Transfer RNA (tRNA) molecules are approximately 80 nucleotides in length. Their secondary structure includes four short double-helical elements and three loops (D, anti-codon, and T loops). The record is from Rfam by way of RNAcentral. Lineage: Eukaryota; Fungi; Basidiomycota; Agaricomycetes; Agaricales; Galerinaceae.